AGUGGAGAGUCCGUGAGCACCAUGUUGCUAAGCAACUAGGAAGCGCUCUUGGACAACGCGGACUUAUCCUGUCCAACCAAGGCAGGGGAAAUCUCACAGACAGCAGCAGGACACAGCCUGCACACCAAGCUCGGGAGGAGCUGGGCAGACUCCGUUUACAGAAGCAAGAUGUUUUUAAAAGAGAUACAGAACCAAAUGAAUAAGGAAAAUAUCAAGGAGUGAAGAGGAAAUCAGAAUAUUCUCAGAUGAAGAAAAGCAGAGAAUUUGUCAUUGGGAGACCUGCCCUAAAAGAAUGGCCCUAAUGGAAGUUCCUAAAAAAAGAGGAGACACUGAUAAAAAAAAAAAAAAAAAAAAAAAAAAACUUGAAGUAUUAUAAAAGUAUCAUAAAGAAAGAGGAGCAGGAGCAUAGUAAGCAAAAAUAUGGCUACUUGCCCUCAAAAGAAGGAGGAAGAGGGGGAGGAGGAAGAGCUGCAAGUGGUGCCGUGUCACCUCUGAAAGCACCACCCUGGAGGCCCCGUGAUUUAUAAGGACAGUAGUUAAUAGUUUCUGUCAUCAGAGAGGGUCUAGGGUCCUCCUAGAACUUGCUGUCAUGUGGAUAGAUUUCCAACAAUGAACCUAGCCAGCUCCUCCUCCCGCGCUUGAUGUCCCCCUCUCCCAGAGGCCAGUAUGUGCACCUGUAACAUCAGACACAAUUUCAAAGAAGACAUAACCUUGGGAACUCUGAACCAUCCAUUGAUGAUGAAUAUUUUCACCACCUAAAGAUCCCCACAAAGCAGCCCCAUGCAAUGACAUAGUUGGCUAGGAAACUGCUUUCUUCAGCCAUUUCCUUAUGGACAAUGUUGUGGUCACUUAGCCACUUUAUUGGAAGCCAACUUGGCCUUUGCUUGUUCUACUAACUACCCCCUGCACUUGCCCGCUUCUCUCUCCACCCCUCACCAGCCAACAUUCAAAGUCCUACACCAUCUUAUGUAUUUUAGGUAAAUUUAAUCUCACUUUUUGUUUACCAUUUCUUACUCCAGAUAUCAAAAUUUGUCAGCAACUACGGUAACUGAUGUUAAGUUUCUCUAGAGUAAAUUUCUUUUUAGCAAGGUUGAUAGAAUAUUCAAUAAAACUGGACAUAACCUAUC
This is a long non-coding RNA of Pongo pygmaeus (Bornean orangutan), 1127 nucleotides long. RefSeq lists it as uncharacterized. The transcript is spliced from 4 exons. The record is from RefSeq and is a predicted model, not a curated record. NCBI's taxonomy places the organism in Eukaryota, Metazoa, Chordata, Mammalia, Primates, Hominidae.